UGUAGAUGUUGGAAUAGAACAAGAACAAUGAGAAAUGGUUUAUAUUUAUGUUGUUGUGUGGUUAUGAAGAUAAAGAGCAAAUUGAUUGAAAUAAUUUGGAUUUAGGAAUUUUCAAUUAUAAAGUGUCAGUGGAGUAAAGUUGGAGGAAUGGGAAAAGAAAAAACAAAAGCGCGUGGUGUAUGAUCACCUGUGGUGGAGUGUCGGUGUAUAAUUUUCAAUUAUUAGUAUAGUUGUUUGUAGCUGGCGUUGGUUGUCGGUGUUACAAACAUGUGACUCCAAGUGGACCUAUGAACCGUUGAUUUGGUUUUAGUCCUGUAAAAAGAGAGUGCAUCUAUGAAUGCCGCGUGACGCGCCGAUAAUCUUGCCUUCAUCACUUUCCUAGAGUUGAGAUUGGGAAGCCUUAUAAUCCAAGUCUCCUCUAAUUAAUUACUAAUCA
This 436-nucleotide long non-coding RNA is filed under the name Trifolium pratense (red clover). RNAcentral describes it as "long non-coding RNA (TPRA_LNC011803)". Lineage: Eukaryota; Viridiplantae; Streptophyta; Magnoliopsida; Fabales; Fabaceae. The record is from RNAcentral.